Molecule: long non-coding RNA, 2714 nt
Organism: Triticum aestivum (bread wheat)
Lineage: Eukaryota; Viridiplantae; Streptophyta; Magnoliopsida; Poales; Poaceae
Exons: 3
Source: RefSeq, a predicted model, not a curated record
UAAGAGAGAAAGGAAAAAAACACCCACGAGCACGACCCCUCCCACAUCUCCACCUCCAGUGCGCCGCCACCCCUGCCACGCUGCUGCGCGCCGCCGGGCGCGGCGACGGCGAUCUCCGGCCAGAUCCGGACGAGGAGGUGAGGCAGUGGCAGGAUCCUGUUCCAGGAUGGCGUGGAGGCGAUCUAGGAGGCGCGGGAGGAGGUCCAGCGGAGGGGCUUGAACUCCAAGUUCAUGGCGGCGGUGUUCCUUGCCGGUUCCGAGCGAGAUGGCAAGCUCCGGCGGAGUCUCUCCAUGGAUACGGUGGCGCUGCACCUAUGAGAGAGACAUAUGUGAGGCGAGAGAUAGAAAGGAAGGAGGGGCAGUGAGAAGGAGAGGGCGCGAGGACCGGCGAGGAAGUCCUAGUGGUGCCCGUGUCCUGCAGCAGCUCAGCUCCAGGGCCGCGUUGCGAUACGGCAUCGACGGGAGGCGAUGGAGAUGAGCAGCUUGUGUCCGUCCUGCAGCGCGCAUUCUUAAUCCCCAAGCACUAGAUUGCAACGCCGGCCCGCCAGCCCGCACAUAUGCAUGUGUGCAGCCCCCACCCAUGCGUGAGCCGUGGCGCGCGUGGCCGCCGAUGAUCUGGUGAGAACCCACAUCGCUGAGCAGGUUGCAGCGGUGCUUCUCUUGAAUUUACUAAUUUUCGCAUGGUGCAGGCCCUCUGACUUCACCUUUUUGGAAUCGCUUAGGAUAUUUGAUGCUUGCCUGCAUAUAUGUGCACACCGGCACACGGCACACCGAAAUGAUGUGAAGUCAUCAGCUUUUUUCAUAGAAACAGUAGCAGAGGAUUCUUCUAUACUGGAGUAUAAGUCAAUUAUCUUUGGCCUAAUAAGAGAGCAAAUUAAUUAACUAUAUCUGAAAAACCAUUAAAUCCAGAAUAAGCACAUGCUCCACAAAUGCUAUACAUGUUCUCCCCUAUGUUCUUUUUGGUAAUCCAUUUCACCACUGACUAAAUUGUAUCACCCUGUGCUAGGUCUGAAUUUGACGGUUUACUUGAGAAAACUUCUGCUGAAGUUAAUGGUUCCCUGUCAAAUCUGCGCAUAUGUAACUGCAGCAAGAACUGCUGGUGAUGCACAAGCUAGGGAUCAGCUGGAACGUCCUAUUGAAUGCCUUCAUGGGGACAAUCGUGAGCACUCCAAGAUUGCAUUACCUUGGCCCAGCUUAAGUGUUUACACUUUGCUUAAUAUGGGAUAGUGCAUCAUUGAGCCAUGUAUAUCUGCUUAAUUUUACAUUACUGGAUUUACUUGCUUUACAAAAAUAUUGCAGCCAAAAUAUUUUCCUUUGACGAUGGCUUCAUUGAUCUCUCUGAAUCUUAGGUUUCAUGUUACUCACCACUGUUUUUAUUAAUGGUGUAACUUAGGUUUCAAGAUUAUUUCGCCAACCAUGUGGAGCCGCUGACGUUUACUCUCCCUGAAGACUCAGUGGCCAGCUCAGGUGCUUCCUUCGAUCUGAUCUGCAGCAAAGCGUUUUCCAUGACCUCUUGAAUUCUUGUCGAUGGAUCCAAGUCAAAAUAAAAUUGUUUUGCCAAUGAAAGCACAUAUGAAUUGUUCCUCUAAUUUGGUAUUCUUUUCAGACACUAUACUAAUCGUGAAGUUGCUAUUAUGAUCCUCAUUGCUUAUUUAAUGAUGGCUGAAGUGUACUAACAUCAUAUUCAUACAAUAUAAUUUGUCAUUAUUAUCAGCUAGCUUAAAUGAUAUUCACUGGUUGCUUUACAUGGCACUUGCUUGAGUUGAGUGAUACUCUUAGUCCUGUCUCAGCAUCAUGGUUCGGGAAAAAGUGGUGUACGAAUGGCUUCGGAGGAUAGUUUGCAGAGGUACUUAAGUUUGUCAGGUUCUCUGAAAAAGCAUUCAAGAAGGGUGAAGCAAUCUUUUACUUAAUUCGGAAGCUCUUGUCAUUGUUAAUGAUACUAUGAUACUCUGAUUGCACGAGUCCAUGAAGCAAGCAAUAAUCUAUCUCAAAAAUUUGUGUCCAAGCAUAUAACGGUACUACAACUUACGAGUUCUGACUAUGGCUGUGUAGCACGCUGACAAGACAAGAGAAUAAUGCCUCUAAGGCAUUUGUCCGAGCUAUGCCGCUUCCUAUCAAACUCAAGUUCGGCGCUCCGUCUGCACUCGAGCAUAGCUGUCGGCCAUCAGCUCGCUCAAGCAAACACGCUGACCGUCCGCGCACGAUCUCCUCCCAGCCUUCGACAUGUUAUUUUUGCAUGCAAGGCUAAUAAGCUAUCUCCACCUCCUUUUUCUGUCCGAGCUCCUCCCUACCCUGUCAAAACCAAAUGCUACCAUCUCCUUUCCUUGGCAUGCUAAAACUUAUGUCAGUUCAUUUUCAUGGAUAGAUUAGUGAGAAUGAGAUUGGGCUCUUUACACUAUACAGAGGAUGAGGAGCUAUAUGUGCUACGAGAUGUUGCUUGACGUGUGGUUCUGGGACCUUCUGUUGUUCAAAUUACAGCUCCCUUAUUUAGUACUAGGCAUUCCCACUGAUACUGACGAUACAUGGAGCAUUUCCAGCAGUGGCAGUAGAGACAUGUAGCACCACUUCUUGGUAGAUUUUGUCCAUUUACUUUUUGUAUCCUUUGAAUUAGAAUAUUCUGUGCAAGAUUUGAGUUUGAAUCUGGUCAAAUUAAUCUUGUACUCUCUGAAUGAAAUAACGUCUCAUAUCUUACUAAAUUUUGUUGUGUAUUGGAA